This 363-nucleotide ribosomal RNA is filed under the name uncultured bacterium. RNAcentral describes it as "bacterial SSU rRNA". It matches the Rfam family "Bacterial small subunit ribosomal RNA", at positions 9 to 361 of the family's 1533-position model. The record is from RNAcentral.
GAGUUUGAUCGUGGCUCAGGACGAACGCUGGCGGCGUGCCUAACACAUGCAAGUCGAACGGAACUUACCGAAUGAAGUCUUCGGAUGGAUUUUGAUAAGUUUAGUGGCGGACGGGUGAGUAACGCGUGAGUAACCUGCCUUCAAGAGGGGAAUAACGUUCUGAAAAGAACGCUAAUACCGCAUAACAUACGGAUGUCGCAUGGCAACCGUAUCAAAGAUUUUACGCUUGAAGAUGGACUCGCGUCCGAUUAGCCAGUUGCGGGUACGCCACAAAGCGACGAUCAGUAGCCGGACUGAGAGGUUGGCCGGCCACAUUGGGACUGAGACACGGCCCAGACUCCUACGGGAGGCAGCAGUGGGGAA